Molecule: long non-coding RNA, 789 nt
Organism: Branchiostoma floridae (Florida lancelet)
Lineage: Eukaryota; Metazoa; Chordata; Leptocardii; Amphioxiformes; Branchiostomatidae
Exons: 4
Source: RefSeq, a predicted model, not a curated record
AAAUCCCAGAAGCCCACUGACGGUCAUUCGACUGUGUGAAGUCUGACGAGAGUGCGCGCCUUUUUUUCAUCCUGCCACAGCCCCCCAAGAACAAGUUUCUAAGAUGUUCGCAAAGGCUUUCAUCGUUGCUGUCGUGUUUGCGGUAUUCCUGACGAAAUGUGCAGUUGAAGUAGAAGCGCAAACAACAAUGGGCCCCACCACCAUGAACAACACCAUGGCAGGGACGACAGCUGCACCAGCCGGCGGAGCAGCCAGCCUUGCAGCAGCCCUGCUGAGUGUCCUGAUGCCGGCACUGAUGGCAUUACUCCUGUCUAACUGAAUAUUUAAAACGGCUGGGCAUUAUUGCUGUCAAUCAGUUAUGUCAGAGUUUGGUAGAGGCUCGUGUAGUUUUUGCGACCUGCAGUUUUUACUUUAUCCGUGCUGAUUUCACUUAUGACGCACGCGGAAGAAAAAUACAGGCAUUGCAGACUUAACGUUACUAGUAAUGUGGCGAUAAAUUUCACAUCUUAUAUAGAAUAUUAGAAGUAGAUUCUUAUAUGGAAUUAAUCGUUAUAAGGGAUUUAGAGUGCAUAUCUGGGGUCGUUAUUGUUCAUUGUCAGAAACAGCACUUACAAAUGUACAUUGCCCUAAUAGGCACGUGUCGACGUCUUUUGUAACUUCGAAUACUAUACAGAACUACUAUAAUUAUCAUAAAGUUCACUCUAUGUCACAGUUCUAGCUGUUGUAGCAUCCGUUGAGUACUGGUUUUGUUGUUUUUCUUACAAUAAACCACUUUGCAGUGCAAAUCCA